This is a long non-coding RNA of Photinus pyralis (common eastern firefly), 681 nucleotides long. RefSeq lists it as uncharacterized. The transcript has 2 exons. The record is from RefSeq and is a predicted model, not a curated record. NCBI's taxonomy places the organism in Eukaryota, Metazoa, Arthropoda, Insecta, Coleoptera, Lampyridae.
AUUGCGCAAGCCGCAAGAAGUGGAAGAAAUUCUUUGUUUCAAAAUUUUGCAUAAACAUCAAAAGUGUCAGUUAUGUAAAUUUUUAGCGGUUCGUGCGAUCGUAAUGAGGUUGGGUUAUGUUUUAAAUUUACGAUUUGUAAAUUAUCAAAAGCUAACGGGGAAAACUUUUACGAAAGUGCUGAUGUUUCGUGUUUUUUAAUAAUUAAUAACGUUUUGGAUAUUUUUGAUUGACAUAAAUUACGUGUAAUUAUUUGAGUUAUAAUCUUACGAACGGGAAUAUUCGGCAACAUCAACUUAAUAGACAUUUAUAUAUGAAUUAUACAUUGGCAUCAUUUCAGAUUUUCACAGGGAAAGUUGUAACCGAGGCCUCAGUGUCUGAAAUUUGAAACUGUAUUCAUUUCGACUUACUCUACGGUUCUUAGUGCCAACGGACAGCCAAAUCUACACCAUCAAUGAGUUACGUUAAGGGAAUAGAACCCUAAGUUUCAGUUCCUGAAGAUUUUGAUUAGAAAGAAAUACGCAUGUGGGAGCCUUUACGGAGAUUCCUGUUCAAUUCUGGGUUGGUGAUUAUUUGAGUAUGAAUCGCGAAUCAAAGCAAACCGACUUCAUGCGAUAGGAAUACUCGAGAUCCGUGAUUAUGAAGAGGAAUAAUAAACCAAUGUUCCGCUGUGUUGAUAUUAA